AGACCCGAAACCCGGUGAUCUAGCCAUGGGCAGGUUGAAGGUUGGGUAACACUAACUGGAGGACCGAACCGACUAAUGUUGAAAAAUUAGCGGAUGACCUGUGGCUGGGGGUGAAAGGCCAAUCAAACCGGGAGAUAGCUGGUUCUCCCCGAAAGCUAUUUAGGUAGCGCCUCGUGAAUUCAUCUCCGGGGGUAGAGCACUGUUUCGGCUAGGGGGCCAUCCCGGCUUACCAACCCGAUGCAAACUGCGAAUACCGGAGAAUGUUAUCACGGGAGACACACGGCGGGUGCUAACGUCCGUCGUGAAGAGGGAAACAACCCAGACCGCCAGCUAAGGUCCCAAAGUCAUGGUUAAGUGGGAAACGAUGUGGGAAGGCCCAGACAGCCAGGAUGUUGGCUUAGAAGCAGCCAUCAUUUAAAGAAAGCGUAAUAGCUCACUGGUCGAGUCGGCCUGCGCGGAAGAUGUAACGGGGCUAAACCAUGCACCGAAGCUGCGGCAGCGACGCUGAUGCGUUGUUGGGUAGGGGAGCGUUCUGUAAGCCUGCGAAGGUGGCCUGUGAGGGUUGCUGGAGGUAUCAGAAGUGCGAAUGCUGACAUAAGUAACGAUAAAGCGGGUGAAAAGCCCGCUCGCCGGAAGACCAAGGGUUCCUGUCCAACGUUAAUCGGGGCAGGGUGAGUCGACCCCUAAGGCGAGGCCGAAAGGCGUAGUCGAUGGGAAACGGGUUAAUAUUCCCGUACUUGGUGUUACUGCGAAGGGGGGACGGAGAAGGCUAUGUUGGCCGGGCGACGGUUGUCCCGGUUUAAGCGUGUAGGCUGGUUUUCCAGGCAAAUCCGGAAAAUCAGGGCUGAGGCGUGAUGACGAGGCACUACGGUGCUGAAGCAACAAAUGCCCUGCUUCCAGGAAAAGCCUCUAAGCAUCAGGUAACAUCAAAUCGUACCCCAAACCGACACAGGUGGUCAGGUAGAGAAUACCAAGGCGCUUGAGAGAACUCGGGUGAAGGAACUAGGCAAAAUGGUGCCGUAACUUCGGGAGAAGGCACGCUGACACGUAGGUGAAGUGAUUUACUCAUGGAGCUGAAGUCAGUCGAAGAUACCAGCUGGCUGCAACUGUUUAUUAAAAACACAGCACUGUGCAAACACGAAAGUGGACGUAUACGGUGUGACGCCUGCCCGGUGCCGGAAGGUUAAUUGAUGGGGUCAGCGCAAGCGAAGCUCCUGAUCGAAGCCCCGGUAAACGGCGGCCGUAACUAUAACGGUCCUAAGGUAGCGAAAUUCCUUGUCGGGUAAGUUCCGACCUGCACGAAUGGCGUAAUGAUGGCCAGGCUGUCUCCACCCGAGACUCAGUGAAAUUGAACUCGCUGUGAAGAUGCAGUGUACCCGCGGCAAGACGGAAAGACCCCGUGAACCUUUACUAUAGCUUGACACUGAACAUUGAGCCUUGAUGUGUAGGAUAGGUGGGAGGCUUUGAAGUGUGGACGCCAGUCUGCAUGGAGCCGACCUUGAAAUACCACCCUUUAAUGUUUGAUGUUCUAACGUGGACCCGUUACCCGGGUUGCGGACAGUGUCUGGUGGGUAGUUUGACUGGGGCGGUCUCCUCCUAAAGAGUAACGGAGGAGCACGAAGGUUGGCUAAUCCUGGUCGGACAUCAGGAGGUUAGUGCAAUGGCAUAAGCCAGCCUGACUGCGAGCGUGACGGCGCGAGCAGGUGCGAAAGCAGGUCAUAGUGAUCCGGUGGUUCUGAAUGGAAGGGCCAUCGCUCAACGGAUAAAAGGUACUCCGGGGAUAACAGGCUGAUACCGCCCAAGAGUUCAUAUCGACGGCGGUGUUUGGCACCUCGAUGUCGGCUCAUCACAUCCUGGGGCUGAAGUAGGUCCCAAGGGUAUGGCUGUUCGCCAUUUAAAGUGGUACGCGAGCUGGGUUUAGAACGUCGUGAGACAGUUCGGUCCCUAUCUGCCGUGGGCGCUGGAGAACUGAGGGGGGCUGCUCCUAGUACGAGAGGACCGGAGUGGACGCAUCACUGGUGUUCGGGUUGUCAUGCCAAUGGCACUGCCCGGUAGCUAAAUGCGGAAGAGAUAAGUGCUGAAAGCAUCUAAGCACGAAACUUGCCCCGAGAUGAGUUCUCCCUGAGACUUAGAGUCUCCUGAAGGAACGUUGAAGACGACGACGUUGAUAGGCCGGGUGUGUAAGCGCAGCGAUGCGUUGAGCUAACCGGUACUAAUGAACCGUGAGGCUUAACCUUACAACGCCGAAG
This 2249-nucleotide ribosomal RNA is filed under the name Salmonella enterica. RNAcentral's name for it is "partial 23S ribosomal RNA". It matches the Rfam family "Bacterial large subunit ribosomal RNA", at positions 711 to 2925 of the family's 2925-position model. Lineage: Bacteria; Pseudomonadati; Pseudomonadota; Gammaproteobacteria; Enterobacterales; Enterobacteriaceae. RNAcentral also lists the same sequence under 1 other name. The record is from RNAcentral.